This 484-nucleotide ribosomal RNA is filed under the name uncultured bacterium. RNAcentral's name for it is "partial 16S ribosomal RNA". It matches the Rfam family "Bacterial small subunit ribosomal RNA", at positions 30 to 507 of the family's 1533-position model. The record is from RNAcentral.
AGUGAACGCUGGCGGCAGGCCUAACACAUGCAAGUCGAGCGGCAGCGGGUCCUUCGGGAUGCCGGCGAGCGGCGGACGGGUGAGGAAUGCAUCGGAAUCUGCCCUGUCGUGGGGGAUAACCUAGGGAAACUUAGGCUAAUACCGCAUACGACCCACGGGUGAAAGCGGGGGAUCGCAAGACCUCGCGCGAUAGGAUGAGCCGAUGUCCGAUUAGCUAGUUGGUGGGGUAAAGGCCCACCAAGGCGGCGAUCGGUAGCUGGUCUGAGAGGAUGAUCAGCCACACUGGGACUGAGACACGGCCCAGACUCCUACGGGAGGCAGCAGUGGGGAAUAUUGGACAAUGGGCGCAAGCCUGAUCCAGCCAUGCCGCGUGGGUGAAGAAGGCCUUCGGGUUGUAAAGCCCUUUUGUCCGGGAAGAAAUCGUCUGGGCUAAUACCCCGGGCGGAUGACGGUACCGGAAGAAUAAGCACCGGCUAACUUCGUG